UCUCCGUAGGUGAACCUGCGGAAGGAUCAUUAACAAUAAGUGUAACACGGCACUUUUUUUAAACCUUAUUCACUUUGUGUGCAACGUCAGGGCUGGCCUCUCUUGCUCACCGCCAAUCACCAACUAUCAUCUCAAACCUUUGUCUGCAACAUAUUAUUAUUAAAACACUUUAAAAAAUAUCUUCAAACAAUCGAUUUCUUGGCUCUCCCAUCGAUGAAGCACGCAGCAGAACGGAAGAACACACGUCCGACCGUCAGUCACGCAUAGUCAGUACGUAUG
RNAcentral lists this unclassified non-coding RNA (279 nucleotides) under plant metagenome. Its description in RNAcentral is "partial contains small subunit ribosomal RNA, internal transcribed spacer 1, and 5.8S ribosomal RNA". The record is from RNAcentral.